Molecule: ribosomal RNA, 135 nt
Filed under: Vibrio parahaemolyticus
Lineage: Bacteria; Pseudomonadati; Pseudomonadota; Gammaproteobacteria; Vibrionales; Vibrionaceae
Description: partial 16S ribosomal RNA
Rfam family: Bacterial small subunit ribosomal RNA
Source: RNAcentral
ACACUAUGGGAGCUGGCCAUGCCCGAAGUCGUUACCUUAACCGCAAGGAGGGGGGUGCCGAAGGCAGGGCUAGUGACUGGAGUGAAGUCGUAACAAGGUAGCCGUACUGGAAGGUGCGGCUGGAUCACCUCCUUU